RNAcentral lists this ribosomal RNA (264 nucleotides) under uncultured archaeon. RNAcentral's name for it is "partial 16S ribosomal RNA". It matches the Rfam family "Archaeal small subunit ribosomal RNA", at positions 718 to 982 of the family's 1478-position model. The record is from RNAcentral.
AGUCACUGACAUUAGAUACCCCGGUAGUCCAGGGUGUAAACGCUGCAGACUUGGUGUUGGAAGCCCUUUGGGGGCAUUCAGUGCCGGAGAGAAGUUGUUAAGCCUGCUACUUGGGGAGUACGUCCGCAAGGAUGAAACUUAAAGGAAUUGGCGGGGGAGCACCGCAACGGGAGGAGCGUGCGGUUUAAUUGGAUUCAACACCGUAAACUCACCAGGGAAGACUGUUACAUGAAGGCCGAGAUGAAGACUCUGCUAGAUUUUCAG